Sinocyclocheilus rhinocerous is the source of this 375-nucleotide long non-coding RNA. RefSeq lists it as uncharacterized. The transcript has 3 exons. The record is from RefSeq and is a predicted model, not a curated record. NCBI's taxonomy places the organism in Eukaryota, Metazoa, Chordata, Actinopteri, Cypriniformes, Cyprinidae.
UCCCAAAACUAUUUUUCUAUGGAGUUGAAGUCAUUUAAUUUCACUAAAUAUUAAAUUCCUACAUGGGUCAUGCAAUGUUAAUGUGAGUAGGAACUAUUAAUUACGGUGUUUGUUCGAAUGGAACACUUAUCUGUGUUGCGUGCUAUGCUUUUAGGGAGUGCGUGAGUUACGUCAGCCUCAGACAGCGAAUGGACGCUGGCGAGGCAAGACGCACAUUUUCCCUUCUCUUCUUCCAGUCAUUAUUGUGUUUAACGGAAGAAGUUAGCGCGACGGAUGUUUCUCUUAUCAAGUGUCCCAUGUGUUUCAGCAUUUGGAUUAUGCACUGAUUUCACAUUUCUAUAGUGUUGUUGUGAAUGUGUAUGAUGUUUUGGGAGA